CUAGAAGUUGUUUAUAAGCCUUAAUUCUAUUUCUCAUGUUCCCUUUCCCCCACCUCUGUUGUUUGGGAUUUGUUUCCUACCUCCCUUGUGCCCUGAGCAAUUGAAAUGUUUUAAUUUUUCCUCUUUCUAGAUACAUUUUGCUGUUAAUUGUGAAUUGUUUCUCAGUAAAUUUUGCACAUCUAGGUGGCCUCUUGCACUUGUAGUGGUUUUCCUGCCAUUCAGUCAAAUGAGAAUUCCUUCUCAUUCUCCCCAUAAAUAUUGUGUAAGUUAUUUCUGUGUCCUAGUACAGGGUCAUUUAAGAAAACUGGGGACUGUGCUGGUAGAACUCAGAGGACACCUUCAGACUGCCAAUUUUUCUUCAGUGUUUCAGGGUUUUUCUGCCAUUUCCAGGUGGAAGGUUUCUUGAUCCUGAGGUCACAGCCUGAGCACGUGGAUUUGUAUAAAUUUAUGUCCUGAUGUGGAAGACAAAGACUUUAUGAAGUCUAGAGAUAGACAAAGGAAGGCAGGAGAUUCUUGUAAGAUGACUUGAAGUUGGUUGCAGCAGAUUCAAGUCCAUUAUCAUUUUAACAGUACUUGAAAUACACAACAGUCACCAGUCCAAGGAAGUGACUGUGAGAAAUUUGAUGGUUCUUGUGCAUCAGUGGGACUCCAGGUGAGCCUUGUGUUAAUUUGCCUGCUUGCUUCAUGGACUUCAUAAGAGUAAGAGCAGACUUUGCUUAUUUACUGAGCUAAUUGGUGAGACCCUGUGAGCUGAAGGACAGUGAAUCACAAGGGACCUGGCCUUCCUUUAAGGACAGCCCCAUGGAGCACAAAGCAAUAGUCCUUCCACUUGCUUGGGAAAACGAGUGGAGGUUUAAGGAGAGCAGAAUUGAGGGAACUCAUGACUCAGCCUCAGCACAGCACACUCGUGCAGGAGGAGGAAACAAGGACAGGCUUGCUCAGGGAUAUAAAAAUCCUGCCCGCAUGGGCAGAGAUGGUAUUGAGAAAGCCACUGUUAGUGAUAAGGGCAUCAAAGGCAGCAGGAACUUCCAGCACUGGAUCAGGAGUUGAGGAAAAAGAGAAAUAGGGAAAUAAAGGCUUGCUGCUGUCUGUGACAGGUGAUCCAGGGACAGUGCAUAUGGACAAGGCUGAGGUGCUGGAUCCUUUCUUUGCCCUUCUAGGGUCUUCUAGGCCUUUGUCCCUUUAGACAGGGUUUAAAAAUGGAGAAUAACUCAGUGCUGCAAGAGGAUUGGGUCAGAGGGGUUUUUUUGAUAUGGAGAAAACAUCUUUGCAUUCUGUUUGGUGUAAGGAACACGACUCCUAAAAUAGCAACACUA
Molecule: non-coding RNA, 1316 nt
Organism: Zonotrichia albicollis (white-throated sparrow)
Lineage: Eukaryota; Metazoa; Chordata; Aves; Passeriformes; Passerellidae
Source: RefSeq, a predicted model, not a curated record